UACAGAGGGGGCAAGCGUUGUUCGGAAUUAUUGGGCGUAAAGGGUGCGUAGGCGGUGCGGUAAGUCUUCUGUGAAAUCUCCGGGCUCAACUCGGAGCCUGCAGGAGAAACUGCCGUGCUUGAGUAUGGGAGAGGUGAGUGGAAUUCCUGGUGUAGCGGUGAAAUGCGUAGAUAUCAGGAGGAACACCUGUGGCGAAAGCGGCUCACUGGACCAUAACUGACGCUGAGGCACGAAAGCUAGGGGAGCAAACAG
RNAcentral lists this ribosomal RNA (252 nucleotides) under uncultured bacterium. RNAcentral describes it as "partial 16S ribosomal RNA". It matches the Rfam family "Bacterial small subunit ribosomal RNA", at positions 524 to 775 of the family's 1533-position model. The record is from RNAcentral.